RNAcentral lists this ribosomal RNA (514 nucleotides) under uncultured bacterium. Its description in RNAcentral is "partial 16S ribosomal RNA". It matches the Rfam family "Bacterial small subunit ribosomal RNA", at positions 28 to 523 of the family's 1533-position model. The record is from RNAcentral.
GACGAACGCUGGCGGCGUGCCUAAUACAUGCAAGUCGAGCGAUGAUUAAAGAUAGCUUGCGAUUUUUAUGAAGAGCGGCGAACGGGUGAGUAACGCGUGGGAAAUCUGCCGAGUAGCGGGGGACAACGGCUGGCAACGAACGCUAAUACCGCAUAACGAUGAGACUCGCAUGAUUCUUAUUUGACAGAAGCAAUUGCUCCACUACUUGAUGCUCCAGCGGUGUAAUAGCUAGUUGGUAGUGUAAAGGACUACCAAGGCGAUGAUACAUAGCCGACCUGAGAGGGUGAUCGGCCACGCUGGGACUGAGACACGGCCCAGACUCCUACGGGAGGCAGCAGUAGGGAAUCUUCGGCAAUGGGGGCAACCCUGACCGAGCAACGCCGCGUGAGUGAAGAAGGUUUUCGGAUCGUAAACUCCUGUCACCACAGAGCAAUAUUUUCAUUCUAACAAAGUGAAAAGAGGAUCGUAUGUGGAGAGGAAGGGACGGCUAACUCUGUGCCAGCAGCCGCGGUAA